GGAGAAAGAGGUGCCAAAUUAUGUCUGGAUGAGUCUGCAGGUCACGCUUCUCAGCAGUUUUGCUGACAGACCCCUCCCAGAAAACACAGCGUCAUGUCCCACUCAAAGUGUGGCUUGAGAAGCAGAAGCCAGGAAAAGUGUUCUUUGUUCUUAUCAGGAGCCACGACACCAGCUGGAAAACCAGUCAGCCAAACUGUCAGCUGGAGGAGAUGGCCAAAGCCCUUCUGCAGGCAUUUACACAAGGAGCAAACCUGGCACGGAGAUGCCAACAGUGCUGCUAAGGAUCCCGCUGCUGCUCCUGCAGCUUCAUCUCUCUGGGAGGAAGCUGCGACAGCAGGUGGUUCAGCCCUAGUAUUUCCAGGAGAACCAUGACACCUCCGAUCUCCAGAAAUUCAAUAAGGAAAACCAUGAGCUUCCUGAUGGCCUCCUGCUCUUUGACAGAAGUCAUGAUCUCUUCUGCCUAGAGAAAAGUGAGAAG
This is a long non-coding RNA of Cygnus olor (mute swan), 478 nucleotides long. RefSeq lists it as uncharacterized. The transcript is spliced from 3 exons. The record is from RefSeq and is a predicted model, not a curated record. Lineage: Eukaryota; Metazoa; Chordata; Aves; Anseriformes; Anatidae.